Molecule: long non-coding RNA, 943 nt
Organism: Macadamia integrifolia
Lineage: Eukaryota; Viridiplantae; Streptophyta; Magnoliopsida; Proteales; Proteaceae
Exons: 2
Source: RefSeq, a predicted model, not a curated record
UUUGGUGAAGAAGAAGAAGGAUAGGGGGCUGCUGCACUUGGGCUGCAGCUAAAUUUGUUGCUGCCGCUGCCGCUGCCCCUAUUCCUAUUGUUGCAGCUGUUGUCAAGCUCAAAGCAGCAAAGAGAGAAGAGCAAGGUGUUGUCCCCAAGCAAAGAUUCGGUUGUUACUGGUGAGUUGCUGCUGUACACACAUUUGAAGAAGUGGAAUAUGGAUGCUAUUGUAUAUCAACAACGGAGAAGAACAGCAGCUGAUUGUAUGGCAGCUAUAGCUGCCAUACUUGUCAUAUUGGAUGAAUGUGACUAUGACGAGGAGGAAGAAGAAGCACCGCCUAGAAACAAAGUGUUGAUUUUGAUCAACUAUCCACCAUUGCUGAAGGCAUCAAGGAUUUGGCAGCUGCACUUUGAGAAUCACCCAAGCAACCCAACCCUUAUCAAAUGGAUUUGACUCCUAUCCUCCAUGCCAUACGAGAUAUCCCUGCUAUUUCUGAUGUCAUCGCUAGUAGGUCUUUUGAAUACUUGAGUGUAAAUCUAGUGCAAGCUAAUAUAUUUAUGUCAUAUGAUGUCUCACACAGGGCAAAAUUUCUUUGGAGGCAUUGGCAUUCACAAGACCCCAAUGCGUAGAAGGGCUGUUCAAAUUAUGGAUAUCGUAUUUUGUCUUUUUGUGAACUCUUUACGCAUAUAUUAGUUUAAAACUAUGUAGUUAGAGCUCUAACUCUAGCUUGAAGAACUUAUUUCUGUUUAAUUGUUUUAGAGCUCUGACUCUAGGUUGAAGAACUUAUUUCUAUUUAAUUGUUUUAGAAUGGAAUGUUUGAGUGGGAUGUAUAUUUUUUUUAAUGGUUUCCUACAGACUAAUGAUGUAAUAUUUUCAAACUUUUGGACAAAUUAUAGACAGACUUUAUGCUCUCCAUUUUGGAAGUUCUACCUAGAGAUUUGGAUUUUUGAUU